GAUGAACGCUGGCGGCGUGCCUAAGACAUGCAAGUCGAGCGAACAGACGAUGAGCUUGCGCCACGGACGUUAGCGGCGGACGGGUGAGUAACACGCGGAUAACCUACCUAUAAGACGGGGAUAAGUUCGGGAAACCAGAGCUGAUACCGAAUGACAACUGGAAGCGCAGGGUGCAACAGUGAAAGGCGGUCUAGCUGACACUUAUAGAUGGAUCCGCGCCGCCUUAGCUAGUUGGUAGGGUAACGGCUUACCAAGGCAACGAUGCGUAGCCGACCUGAAAGGGUGACCGCACACGCUGGACCUGAGAUCCGGUCCAGACUCCUCCGGGAGGCAGCGCUACGGAUUCUUCCGCUGUGGGCGAACGCCUCACGGAAAAGCGCCGCGUGGCUGCAGACGGUCUUGUGAUCGUAAAACUCUGUUAUUCGGGAACGACAAAUGUGUAAGUAACUAUGCACGUCUUGACGGUACCUAAUCAGACAGCCACGGCUAACUACGUG
This 497-nucleotide ribosomal RNA is filed under the name uncultured bacterium. RNAcentral describes it as "partial 16S ribosomal RNA". It matches the Rfam family "Bacterial small subunit ribosomal RNA", at positions 28 to 507 of the family's 1533-position model. The record is from RNAcentral.